UGAAUAAAUAGUGUGGUUUCUACCAUGGGGAUAUUCAGUGCGAACUGAAACCACGCCAAAACAACGCCAAACAUGCAUCUCUCGGUAAUUGUGGCCGCGACGAUUGUCACAUUGCUGCUGCUGGACCCGGUUUCCUGUGGCCAAACAUGUAGAUCGGAUGAAGUGCUUCUGCAAUGCGGCAGCAACACCGAAUGCCACUGUCGCCCCGGAUUAGUCCGGUACGGCCAACAGUGCCUAUCGGAAAAAACGUGCAAACCAGCAAACGACAAAAAGGACUGCAGACGGAACGAAUUGAGUCUAAAGUGCGGAAAGACGACCGGGUGCUUCUGCCGGCCAGGAUACGUGCUCCAUAGAAAUGCUUGCAUCGUAAGAUCCGUGUGCAAAGCUGUGGGAAAAUAAGAAUUAUCAAUGUUGCAACGUCCUAACGCCCUGGUUUUCUGGAAUAGUUUCGCAUUUUUUCAGUUAAUCGUAAGCAGGGAAUAUGUUCUCCUACUGAUGAAGUAAUUAGAUGACAUAAUAAAAAAAAAUGAAAAUGGCAAAGGUAAA
This is a long non-coding RNA of Anopheles aquasalis, 546 nucleotides long. RefSeq lists it as uncharacterized. Lineage: Eukaryota; Metazoa; Arthropoda; Insecta; Diptera; Culicidae. The record is from RefSeq and is a predicted model, not a curated record.